AAAAAAAAAAUGGAUACGUGAUCCUGUUGCUUACACGUGCCAAACACUGUAUCAUCUUUCUUUCUUCCCCAAAACACAGCAUCAUCUCUUCUUCCUCCAAAAACCCUUUUCUAUUCUCUCUGUUUACACAGAGAAGCUAUAGAAACAUCCAUCGUUGCCGACACGAGAGAGAUGAAGUCGGUUGAAAAGGCUCGAAAACAAACUUUAGGGUUUCCAAUGAAGACAACGUUUGGAGAAAAAAAAAAAAGAAAAGAGAAAGUCCGACAUAAGGUUUUGUCAAGCUCCAGGGCAUAAGGUUGGGCCAAGUAAGUUCAAACCACAAUACACUGUAUUGGCCAAACCAAAGAUUAAGAAGGUGGAUGAGAAAGUUGAAAGGUAAUACAUAUAUAUUUUCAUAUAAGAUUAAAUAUUUUAGCAGUAGUCUUUUCUUUAUUAUUUUGCUUUAGGAUUGAGCAAAGAUUAUUGUCAUCACAAAGCACAGUAGUCAGCUGAUGCAAUCCCGAAAUUGGAUGAUGAUAUAUGAUAUUCCUAAACUGCAAAAAAAUAUCGAAUGAUGAAAAAAUAUUGGAGGAAAUUACGAAGAGCUCCAAAUGUAUUCUUGUCAAGCUCCAGGGCAUAAGGUUGGGCCAAGUAAGUUCAAACCACAAUACACUGUAUUGGCCAAACCAAAGAUUAAGAAGGUGGAUGAGAAAGUUGAAAGGAUUCAGCAAAGAUUAUUGUCAUCACAAAGCACAGUAGUCAGCUGAUGCAAUCCCGAAAUUGGAUGAUGAUAUAUGAUAUUCCUAAACUGCAAAAAAAUAUCGAAUGAUGAAAAAAUAUUGGAGGAAAUUACGAAGAGCUCCAAAUGUAUUCUCUUAUGCUCACACACAAAGUAAAAUACUGAAUAUUAGAAACGUGAUUAAAGAUUUAGAUACUAUGUACCCUGAUAAUAAAUUGGCAGGUAGUUUUGUUAUAGUUUAAAUUUGAAUGAUUAAGCAUCAGCUCAAUCACCUUUAACAGUUGAAACCGAGGCAUUCCGUUCCGAGGUUGCCAAAGUUUGUGCUGAACUAAAGCUUUGGGUAGAAAAACUAAUUGAGCACCAAGGAAAACUUGAAGUUGCAUCUACCGGAAAACAACUUCUAUAUGAGAAGGUGAGAGGCAUUUAUUAAAUGCUCUCUGCUUUAGAAGUAAAAUACGCAAAGUUUUACUGAUUUAUUUUUGAUGUUUACAUAGACAACAUAUUCUAUGUUUUUAUUUUCUGGUUUCUUCUUCAAAUACGAAUGUUAUUAAUGAUUGACUUCAAUUACGUAUUCAAAUGGUCAGGAACAAUUGUAUGAGAUACAAAAGAGAAUUGUAACAAAUACUUCUAGAAUACAGGACAUGAAAACCGGAUUAAAGAAAAACGAGUUUGAAUCAUCAAAAGCUUACAAAAUAAAAUCUGAACCACGCCCCGAGGAAGACGAUGAUAUUAACUUAGACGAAACGUGACAAAUGGCUCAGACAAACGUGAUAGAUCGCAUGAAUAUUUUAAAGGUGGUGGUUUAUAUUAUAAGCUUUUCUAAUCUAAUUUUAUGAUAUGUGAUUUACACAAAAUGCAUAUGCGUUUGACUUCUUUUCAAAUACAAAUUUAUUCAAGUACCGAAAGACAUAGGGUCGUUCAACUGUGGUGCCUUUGUUGCUGGGACAGUAAGGGAAUGUGGUUAACUUUAGUUCACCAUGUUUACACAAUUGUAAUAUAAUUUUUUACUUGUGUUGUUUUUUAGGGUGUUUUAGACAAUGCGGGAUUCCCGACUGUUGUGGCUGCUCAUUUUGUUCCGGUGGACGGUCAACAAUGACAUCGAACAACUAUUUUGAUAAAGUUUGCUGAGGAGGUAAGAUACUAUGCCAUUUGCCAUUGUUAAAUAUGCUUUCUUUGAUUUCAAAGGUGUUGGUGACUGUCUUAUGUUUUGACUUUCAAUGGAUUUGCUUUUCAAGUAUGACCAUCUUACUCCAACAACAUAAUAGGUAGCCGGCUCACUAGAAGAGGGUAUGAACAUUAAUAUGUGUAUAUAUGAUUAGUGAACGGUAGCUUCUGGUCAACAGGUACCCAUGGUUUACAUUAUAAAUUUAUUUAUUUGAUUUUAAAGUUGAGAUUUUGAUAUGAAGAAUGGGGCUUUGGGCGACAAGCCUUUUUUUAACUAAUUUCUUCUUACCCUUGCCACAACAUAAUCAAGCUGCACCAAAAAGAAGGCGCGCCAGGAAUGAUCGCACAGAAAACCGCUUUUUGGAAGGCGCACAUGACAAAUAAAAAACCUCUGUAAGGAACUUUUUUGAUGGCUACAGAUGAUGAAGUCUAGACAACCGAAACCCGAAAGAAGCCAUCGCUGUACAGAACCUUAAAUAGAAGCAUACCAUUUGUACAAGUUAUCUACAUAGCACGCUAAGUGUUAGUAAGGUAAGUUAUGAUCAACUUUUUGCAGUUAACAUUUUGUAUUUCCAUGAUACGUAAGCUUGGUGAUGUGACUAUGGAAUGUACAUCUAACAAACGCUUGGGUUUUAAUAACUAUGACACAUAUGAAAUGGAUCCCUGCCGCAUUGCGGCGGGUGAUAUUGUACUGUA
Helianthus annuus (common sunflower) is the source of this 2578-nucleotide RNA transcript. It is a transcript of the gene named structural maintenance of chromosomes protein 4, with no coding region annotated. NCBI's taxonomy places the organism in Eukaryota, Viridiplantae, Streptophyta, Magnoliopsida, Asterales, Asteraceae. The record is from RefSeq and is a predicted model, not a curated record. The transcript is spliced from 2 exons.